This 375-nucleotide unclassified non-coding RNA is filed under the name uncultured Ascomycota. Its description in RNAcentral is "sequence contains ITS2". The stretch from base 1 to 154 matches the Rfam family "5.8S ribosomal RNA". Lineage: Eukaryota; Fungi; Ascomycota. The record is from RNAcentral.
AACUUUUGGCAACGGAUCACUUGGUUCCCGCAUCGAUGAAGAACGCAGCAAAAUGCGAUAAGUAAUGUGAAUUGCAGAAUUUAGUGAAUCAUCGAAUCUUUGAACGCACAUUGCGCUCCUUGGUAUUCCGAGGAGCAUGCCUGUUCGAGCGUCAUUGGCAAAAUCUCAAGCUUAAGCUUGGUUUUGGGCUACACCUUAAGUAUUUUUACAUAGGGUGAGUCUUAAAGCUAGUAGCGGUGUUUAGUAUACUUGCGUGAAGCAAUAUUAACAAUAGUUUAUUAAAUUAACGCUGUCACAACCCCAUUUUAAACAAUGUCUGACCUCGGAUCAGGUAGGGAUACCCGCUGAACUUAAGCAUAUCAAUAAGCGGAGGCU